This 62-nucleotide small RNA is filed under the name Richelia intracellularis. Its description in RNAcentral is "Nitrogen stress-induced RNA 1". It matches the Rfam family "Nitrogen stress-induced RNA 1". The record is from RNAcentral. Lineage: Bacteria; Bacillati; Cyanobacteriota; Cyanophyceae; Nostocales; Nostocaceae.
UGGUAGAUGCACCCUGAUAACUCAUUCCCCUGGUUGGUUCACUCUGGCUGGGGGAUUUUUUU